GACUUGGGGAUAGAGAAUACGGGAACUUAUACCUUCAUCUCAGACAGGCAGAAGGUGUGUUAGAGGCUGUCCACUAAAGAAACAAGCACCUCCAGAAGGGGGAGAAGAACAGGAAGGAGGCAGCAAGAAGUGGGAACCUCCAAGAACAAGGUGUUCCUACUGCAAGGAACAAGGACACAACUUAAGAACUUGCACUUCUAAGAAAGUGGAUGAAGACAGAAAAAGGAAGGAAGAAGAGACUCAACAGAGUGAAGAGGAAUUGCAGCAAAAACUGGCAGAGCUUCAAAGAGCUCAGAAUGAAUUGUAUGCACAAAAUCAUCCCAAUCCUUCACCAACAAAGUCACCAAGAACCAAGGGAACUGCAGGGCUCCAUCCCAGAUCAACCCCUUUUCAGUUUGCAAGGCCAGUUGCAACACAUGGAGGAAUUGUAAAGCCCUUUAAAGCACCAGCUCAAUCAGGACCUUCAGGGGUGGAAUAUUUUCAGAAGGAUGGGAAGAACUAUGCAACUCUUGGACAACUACAAGCUGCAUUGAGGAAGGGGAAGAAGUAAUAUGGUCUUGAAGUGGCUAAGACAAUAAUUUAUCUACUUGUAUUAAGACUAAGAUUUGGUACUUCGUAUGUCUCUUUUGUGCUUGAAUUUGGUACUUGAUUUCGAGACUAAUAUUUCGUACUUGUAUUAUGACUAAGAUUUGGCAAUCUCUUUUGUAAGAUAAUCACUGCAUUUAUGCUACCAUCUGUCUUGGUUUUGACAGUUUUUAAUCUAUUCAAAAUUUCUUGUUUUCUAGCA
This is a long non-coding RNA of Daucus carota subsp. sativus, 787 nucleotides long. RefSeq lists it as uncharacterized. Lineage: Eukaryota; Viridiplantae; Streptophyta; Magnoliopsida; Apiales; Apiaceae. The record is from RefSeq and is a predicted model, not a curated record. The transcript has 3 exons.